GGGGCCGAUCCGGAAUCGACCGGGCAAGGAAGGCUUGACGUCGCGCGCCGUGGAGCAUGCUUGCCACGUAAAAAGUAUGCAAAACCAAAACUGCCAACACGCAGUACGCUCUCGCAGCCUAAUUAGGCAGCGCGGAGAUCCGGCCUCACGCCCGAUAGGGCCGGACUCCGUCAAAAUCGGGCUGGUUCCCCCAAGCUGGCAUGCUGAGGGGGAACGAGACUCUUUCGUAUGCCUUGGCCCGAACACACGCUGCCGUCGGCGGAGUGCCGGGACGAGAACAGAAACGAUGGACACGCGCGUAGAAGCGGCUUGCUGAUUGCAUCGGCACUGGGGUUCAAAUCCCCACGGCUCCACUU
Molecule: transfer-messenger RNA, 356 nt
Filed under: Phycisphaerales
Lineage: Bacteria; Pseudomonadati; Planctomycetota; Phycisphaerae
Also listed under: 1 other name
Description: JAEUIT01 sp016795065 Standard tmRNA
Rfam family: transfer-messenger RNA
About the family: Bacterial tmRNA, also known as 10Sa RNA or SsrA, is named for its dual tRNA and mRNA-like properties. Its role is to liberate the mRNA from a stalled ribosome.
Source: RNAcentral